GACGAACGCUGGCGGCGUGCCUAAUACAUGCAAGUAGAACGCUGAAGAGAGGAGCUUGCUCUUCUUGGAUGAGUUGCGAACGGGUGAGUAACGCGUAGGUAACCUGCCUUGUAGCGGGGGAUAACUAUUGGAAACGAUAGCUAAUACCGCAUAACAAUGGGUGACUCAUGUCAUUUAUUUGAAAGGGGCAAAUGCUCCACUACAAGAUGGACCUGCGUUGUAUUAGCUAGUAGGUGAGGUAACGGCUCACCUAGGCGACGAUACAUAGCCGACCUGAGAGGGUGAUCGGCCACACUGGGACUGAGACACGGCCCAGACUCCUACGGGAGGCAGCAGUAGGGAAUCUUCGGCAAUGGGGGCAACCCUGACCGAGCAACGCCGCGUGAGUGAAGAGGGUUUUCGGAUCGUAAAGCUCUGUUGUAAGUCAAGAACGAGUGUGAGAGUGGAAAGUUCACACUGUGACGGUAGCUUACCAGAAAGGGACGGCUAACUACGUGCCAGCAGCCGCGGUAAUACGUAGGUCCCGAGCGUUGUCCGGAUUUAUUGGGCGUAAAGCGAGCGCAGGCGGUUUGAUAAGUCUGAAGUUAAAGGCUGUGGCUCAACCAUAGUUCGCUUUGGAAACUGUCAAACUUGAGUGCAGAAGGGGAGAGUGGAAUUCCAUGUGUAGCGGUGAAAUGCGUAGAUAUAUGGAGGAACACCGGUGGCGAAAGCGGCUCUCCGGUCUGUAACUGACGCUGAGGCUCGAAAGCGUGGGGAGCGUACAGG
RNAcentral lists this ribosomal RNA (765 nucleotides) under uncultured Streptococcus sp. Its description in RNAcentral is "bacterial SSU rRNA". It matches the Rfam family "Bacterial small subunit ribosomal RNA", at positions 28 to 776 of the family's 1533-position model. The record is from RNAcentral. Lineage: Bacteria; Bacillati; Bacillota; Bacilli; Lactobacillales; Streptococcaceae.